Molecule: long non-coding RNA, 794 nt
Organism: Oncorhynchus keta (chum salmon)
Lineage: Eukaryota; Metazoa; Chordata; Actinopteri; Salmoniformes; Salmonidae
Exons: 3
Source: RefSeq, a predicted model, not a curated record
GUGUUUCCGCCCACCUAUAGCAAGGUGUUUUUGUAUGGAAGUCAAUGAGUAUCAAAUGCGGUCAACAAAACAUGUAUAGCUUAUUUGUAAUUUGCUACGUGAUGUUUAUUUGAUCAAAUAGAAGUUUCAUAAUGCCAAAGUUGUUGUGAUUCUACUGAUAUAAGUAGGACAAGUGACAUCCCGGCAACUUUGAGGAAACACUGAAGUGGGCGUUGUCUCGAGAUGUUUAUGUAUAUUCAUGAAAUUAGGCUAGUAUCAUGGAGUCUCUAUAUUGAAUACAGGCGGUUGACGUCAACGAUCCUCGUUUUAGAAGAUUACAAUAAUGAGAUGUAUCCACCAAUCCAAAGAAAAGAUAAGCGGCAGCUUGUGGAUCGAGAGUUACGGAACACAGAGGGUGUUUUUAAAUGCUUGCCUCUGACGAUAACCUGGUAGAGUUAGGCAUACCUCUAUUUUUACUGAAGACCAACCACUAUCCUUGAGUAAAGCCAGUGUGUCCGCUGAUGACUCAACAUUAUACACGUUAGGAAUGGCAGAGAGUUCAUUGAGGUGAUGGAUGUGGUGGAAAGGAGGAAAGGUGUGGAGGAAAGAGGAAGCGAGGGUGAAGGACGGCAGGAGAGGACACAAGGAAUCGAGGAUAGGCUACUGAGACUCAGCCUCGGUUUAAAGACCCUGAUUUGUAAAUGUCAGGCGGGAUGUUGCGACACACAUUAACAUUUUUCCUGUUAUCUACAAUGAGGGGGUGGGAGGUUACUUGUGUGGAAACCUUCAGGCAUGAAUAAACAAAUGUCGGACAA